UUUAUUAUUAAACCGCUGCAAUAUCUUAUAAUCAACCAGUCACAAAUAUCCCGCAAACACAACAAUUUUCAAACGUUGUACCAAUCAUACAAAACGCUUAAUAACGCUUGAAACCGCAACCAUCCGCAUCAGCAAACUCCCGCACCCGCAACCGCAACCGCUGCGUUUAAACAAGUCAUGCCUUAAAUAAACUAAUCCCUAGACCCAUCAAAAUGGUUUCCAAAACAUUUGUAUUAUAAAUUUUGUAUAAGCCCAUGAAUUGCCGGUUUAUUUAAAACUAGUAUGUUUCCCCGUGCUCUACGCAGGGGAAUUUUGAUUGUUUUUCUAAGUAAAAAUGUUAUUUGUUCUUUACCCUUCAAAACCUUUUUUCAAGUUUAACUUAAUGGUGUUGUGGCCCCAAAAUUAAUAUUUAUUUACAUAAAAGUAUAUUCUAAUAAUUAGAAGAAAAUAAUCGACAGUAACUAAUAUUAGUAUAUUUAUUAGUAAAAUAUAUAUUUCAUAUUUUAUAGAAUAUAUUUGGUUAACCAAAAUAUGAGUAGUAUACUAAUACUUUUACAAAUGUAAACAUAUAUAAAUAAAUAAUUAUUUUAUUUUACUUUAAUUUUGAUUUACCAAAUUCAUAAUAGCCUCAAGCAUUUUCAGUCAUGCUUAUAAAUGUAAGCCCAUGAUAUAUAUAUAUAUAUAUAUAUUAUAUAUUCAACUUAAGGCCACGAUACUGUUCCAAAUUUAGUCAUUUAGGGUUGUACAAAUUGUUUAAGAAUUUGUCGAGCAUAAAAUGUUUUCAACAUUAAUUGAAAUUUAAAGAGAAAAAUUCAUUAGUUAAAGUUAUCUUAUACUCCCUUGAAUGGUUAAAAAGUUGUAUCUUACCUAUUUAACAAAACUGAGCAUCACAUGAAUCGAGAGUCUCCGUAUCCAUACUCUUCAACCGUCGUUGAGAACAUAACUUGUUUUUCCCUAUUUA
This 961-nucleotide long non-coding RNA is filed under the name Brassica napus (rape). Its description in RNAcentral is "long non-coding RNA (BNAP_LNC015699)". Lineage: Eukaryota; Viridiplantae; Streptophyta; Magnoliopsida; Brassicales; Brassicaceae. The record is from RNAcentral.